RNAcentral lists this ribosomal RNA (1973 nucleotides) under human gut metagenome. RNAcentral describes it as "bacterial LSU rRNA". It matches the Rfam family "Bacterial large subunit ribosomal RNA", at positions 12 to 1997 of the family's 2925-position model. The record is from RNAcentral.
UAAGGGCGCGCGGUGGAUGCCUAGGCUCUCGGAGGCGAAGAAGGACGCGAUAAGCCGCGAUAGUCCACGGCGAGGUGCAAGUAACCCUUGACCCGUGGGUUUCCGAAUGGGGCAACCCGGCCGUCUAGAUGACGGUCAUGCAUUAUCAUGCAGGCGAACGCGGGGAACUGAAACAUCUCAUUACCCGCAGGAGAAGAAAACAACAGUGAUUCCCCCAGUAGUGGCGAGCGAACGGGGAAGAGCCCAAACCGGUAGCGUUUCGGCGAUACCGGGGUCAUGGGACCACGCCAUUCGAAACAAGAUGAAGUGCAAUUACCUGGAAAGGUAAGCCGCGGAGGGUGAUAGCCCCGUGCACGUCAAUUCUUGUGGAGAUAGUGGAAUCCCGAGUAGGGCGGGACACGAGAAAUCCUGCCUGAAUUCGCCAGGACCCCCUGGCAAGGCUAAAUACUCCCGAGAGACCGAUAGUGAACCAGUACCGCGAGGGAAAGGUGAAAAGUACCCCGAGCAGGGGGGUGAAAUAGACCCUGAACCCGCGCGCCUACAAGCGGUCGGAGCUGCCUUGUGCAGUGACGGCGUGCCUUUUGCAUAAUGAGCCUACGAGUUAGUCGUCACCAGCGAGGUUAAGGGCUUCAGGCCCGUCAGCCGAAGUGAAAGCGAGCCUUAACAGGGCGUCAAGUUGGUGGCGCUAGACGCGAAACCUUGUGAUCUACCCACGAGCAGGUUGAAGUCGCGGUAACACGUGAUGGAGGACCGAACCGGUAAACGUUGAAAAGUUUUCGGAUGACUCGCGGGUAGGGGUGAAAGGCCAAUCAAACUGGGAAAUAGCUCGUACUCUCCGAAAUGCAUUUCGGUGCAGCCUGUGAUGUUCUGUUCCAGAGGUAGAGCUACUGGUUGGACGCGAGGGCUUCACCGCCUAUCAAAUCCGGAUAAACUCCGAAUGCUGGAACACGAAAUCAUGGAGUGAGCCCGCGGGUGCUAAGGUCCGCGGACGAGAGGGAAAGAACCCGGACCACCGGCUAAGGUCCCGGAUGGACAGUUAAGUUGAUCAAACGAGGUGGGAUCGCUGAGACAGCUAGGAUGUUGGCUUGGAAGCAGCCAUUCAUUUAAAGAGUGCGUAACAGCUCACUAGUCGAGCGAUCCCGCGUGGAUAAUACACGGGCAUUAAACUGUCAACCGAAGCCGUGGGGUCAGCGAAAAGCUGACCGGUAGGAGAGCAUUCCUGCCAGCGUUGAAGGUCACCCGCGAGAGUGACUGGAGCGGCAUGAAAAGCAAAUGUAGGCAUAAGUAACGAUAAUGGGGGCGAGAACCCCCCACGCCGCAAGACCAAGGCUUCCCCGGCAAUGUCAAUCAGCCGGGGGUCAGCCGGCCUCUAAGGCUAACCCGAAGGGGGAUGCCGACGAGAAACGGGUUAACAUUCCCGUGCUUCUCGUCACCGUGACGCGGUGACGGGGUGAUGAAUGGACCGCGCGCUGACGGAAUAGCGCGUUGAAGGCCGUACCCUUCGAGGGUGGUAGUCAAGCACGCCACCCGAGGCGACAGCCGAUAGUACCACGAGACUCCGGUCGAGUGGAUAGCGUCCAGGCAAUUUACCCCCGAGAAAACCCGCUAAACUUCAAGUGACGAGGAACCGUACUGUAAACGGACACACGUGGUCGGGUAGAACAUACCAAGGCGCUCGAGUGAUUCAUGGUCAAGGAACUAGGCAAAAUAGUCCUGUAACUUCGGGAAAAAGGACGCUCUAGUGAUAGAGCCGCAGAGUAAUGGCCCAGGCGACUGUUUACCAAAAACACAUGGCUAUGCCAAAUCGAAAGAUGACGUAUAUGGCCUGACACCUGCCCGGUGCCGGAAGGUUAAGAGGAGAGCUCAUCGGAAACGAGAAGGUUUGAAUUGAAGCCCCGGUAAACGGCGGCCGUAACUAUAACGGUCCUAAGGUAGCGAAAUUCCUUGUCGGGUAAGUUCCGACCUGCACGAAU